CCCUUAGAUGUUCUGGGCCGCACGCGUGCUACACUGACCGGCGCAACAAGCUUUUUUCCUUGGCUCGACAGGCCUGGGUAAUCUUCGAACGCCGGUCGUGAUGGGGAUAGAUCCUUGCAAUUUUUGAUCUUCAACGAGGAAUUCCUAGUAAAUGCGAGUCAUCAUCUCGCGUUGAUUACGUCCCUGCCCUUUGUACACACCGCCCGUCGCACCUACCGAUUGAAUGGUCCGGUGAAAAUUUCGGAUACCGGCAUUGCUGGCGGUUCGCCGCCGGCGACGCUGGUAGAAGAUCUUUAAACCUUAUCAUUUAGAGGAAGGAGAAGUCGUAACA
Molecule: ribosomal RNA, 331 nt
Filed under: uncultured eukaryote
Lineage: Eukaryota
Description: partial 18S ribosomal RNA
Rfam family: Eukaryotic small subunit ribosomal RNA
Source: RNAcentral